AGAAGGAGCAACCAACCACGUAUGCAUCAGAAAAUUCAGAACCAGCUCCUUCAUCACCUUUACCUCCUCGUCCUUCUCCUAAGGUAACUACUCCCUCAACCUAUGUAAGGUAGCUUUCUUUAAUUUGUCAAAUUUAAUUACUUUGUCCGACUCUAUUAAACCACACAUUUAGCGGCUACUAAUUUUGAAAUCAGAGUUCAAAUUCUGCAAGAUAAGCAUUUUUAUUAUAUGCUACGAAGCAAUUUGAUGAGAGAACAUUGUGGGUGGAAUUAGGAUUGAAUCAUAAAUAAAAAUUAUAAGCUCAUGAAGAGAUAUUAUAUAUGUAUAGAUUCUCAAGGAUAUAUACAUGACAAACAUAUAUGUGACAUGUAUACUUCCCUUUGUGUGCAGGUUACCCCAAAGAUUUCAGACGUGCUUGCAUUUAGCGGGCCAGCACCGGAGAGAAUCAACGGCAGGCUAGCAAUGGUGGGAUUUGUUGCAGCUCUAGCAGUGGAGCUAUCCAAGGGUCAGGAUGUGUUUGCUCAGAUAUCGAACGGUGCAGGGAUCCCAUUGUUUCUUGGCACCAGCAUUUUAUUGACAGUGGCAUCCCUGGUUCCUUUACUGAAAGGGGUGAGUGCGGAGUCCAAAUCAAAGGGGCUCAUGACUUCAGAUGCUGAGUUGUGGAAUGGAAGGCUGGCAAUGUUGGGACUUGUAGCUUUGGCCUUCACUGAGUAUGUGAAGGGUGGGACCCUAGUGUAGAGUAAAU
RNAcentral lists this long non-coding RNA (745 nucleotides) under Malus domestica (apple). RNAcentral describes it as "long non-coding RNA (MDOM_LNC006229)". The record is from RNAcentral. Lineage: Eukaryota; Viridiplantae; Streptophyta; Magnoliopsida; Rosales; Rosaceae.